RNAcentral lists this ribosomal RNA (390 nucleotides) under uncultured eukaryote. RNAcentral's name for it is "partial 18S ribosomal RNA". It matches the Rfam family "Eukaryotic small subunit ribosomal RNA", at positions 592 to 975 of the family's 1831-position model. The record is from RNAcentral.
CAAUAGCGUAUAUUAAAGUUGUUGCAGUUAAAAAGCUCGUAGUUGGAUUUCUGUGAGAGUGCCGGUGUCGGCUGAUGCUUGUACACUGGCGCUCUUACAUCCUUCUGUUAACCGUUCUUGGCAUUAAUUUGCUGGUUCGUGGCUCAGAUAUUUUACCUUGAGAAAAUUAGAGUGUUUCAGGCAGGCUUAUGCCGGAAUACAUUAGCAUGGAAUAAUGGAACAGGACCUGUGCGUCUUUCGGGGCGCCGGUCUCCGUUAUUGGUUUCGGGGACUAAAGUAAUGAUUAAUAGGGAUAGUUGGGGGCAUUAGUAUUUAAUAGUCAGAGGUGAAAUUCUCGGAUUUGUUAAAGACUAACUUAUGCGAAAGCAUUUGCCAAGGAUGUUUUCAUUA